This 460-nucleotide ribosomal RNA is filed under the name uncultured bacterium. Its description in RNAcentral is "partial 16S ribosomal RNA". It matches the Rfam family "Bacterial small subunit ribosomal RNA", at positions 338 to 795 of the family's 1533-position model. The record is from RNAcentral.
CCUACGGGUGGCAGCAGUGAGGAAUAUUGGUCAAUGGGCGGAAGCCUGAACCAGCCAAGUCGCGUGAGGGAUUAAGGCCCUGCGGGUCGUAAACCUCUUUUGCCGGGGAGCAGAGGUCCGGAUGUGUCCGGGCCGGGAGAGUACCCGGAGAAAAAGCAUCGGCUAACUCCGUGCCAGCAGCCGCGGUAAUACGGAGGAUGCGAGCGUUAUCCGGAUUUGUUGGGUUUAAAGGGUGCGUAGGCGGGCAUUUAAGCCGGCGGUCAAAUGUCGGGGCUCAACCCCGGCCUGCCGUCGGAACUGGGUGCCUUGAGUGGGCGAGAAGUAUGCGGAAUGCGUGGUGUAGCGGUGAAAUGCAUAGAUAUCACGAAGAACCCCGAUUGCGAAGGCAGCCUGCCGCAGCGUUACUGACGCUGAAGCUCGAAAGCGCGGGUAUCGAACAGGAUUAGAUACCCGAGUAGUC